RNAcentral lists this ribosomal RNA (492 nucleotides) under uncultured bacterium. Its description in RNAcentral is "partial 16S ribosomal RNA". It matches the Rfam family "Bacterial small subunit ribosomal RNA", at positions 29 to 507 of the family's 1533-position model. The record is from RNAcentral.
AGUGAACGCUGGCGGUAGGCCUAACACAUGCAAGUCGAACGGCAGCACAGUAAGAGCUUGCUCUUACGGGUGGCGAGUGGCGGACGGGUGAGGAAUACAUCGGUAUCUACUUUUUCGUGGGGGAUAACGUAGGGAAACUUACGCUAAUACCGCAUACGACCUACGGGUGAAAGCAGGGGAUCUUCGGACCUUGCGCGAUUGAAUGAGCCGAUGUCGGAUUAGCUAGUUGGCGGGGUAAAGGCCCACCAAGGCGACGAUCCGUAGCUGGUCUGAGAGGAUGAUCAGCCCCACUGGAACUGAGACACGGUCCAGACUCCUACGGGAGGCAGCAGUGGGGAAUAUUGGACAAUGGGCGCAAGCCUGAUCCAGCCAUACCGCGUGGGUGAAGAAGGCCUUCGGGUUGUAAAGCCCUUUUGUUGGGAAAGAAAAGCAGCAGGUUAAUACCCCGCUGUUCUGACGGUACCCAAAGAAUAAGCACCGGCUAACUUCGUG